This 450-nucleotide ribosomal RNA is filed under the name uncultured bacterium. RNAcentral describes it as "bacterial SSU rRNA". It matches the Rfam family "Bacterial small subunit ribosomal RNA", at positions 354 to 796 of the family's 1533-position model. The record is from RNAcentral.
GUGGGGAAUAUUGGACAAUGGGCGAAAGCCUGAUCCAGCCAUGCCGCGUGUGUGAAGAAGGUCUUCGGAUUGUAAAGCACUUUAAGUUGGGAGGAAGGGCAGUAAGUUAAUACCUUGCUGUUUUGACGUUACCGACAGAAUAAGCACCGGCUAACUUCGUGCCAGCAGCCGCGGUAAUACGAAGGGUGCAAGCGUUAAUCGGAAUUACUGGGCGUAAAGCGCGCGAAGGUGGUUUUGUAAGUUGGAGGUGAAAUCCCCGGGCUCAACCUGGGAACUGCCUCCAAAACUGCAUGACUAGAGUACGGUAGAGGGUAGUGGAAUUUCCUGUGUAGCGGUGAAAUGCGUAGAUAUAGGAAGGAACACCAGUGGCGAAGGCGACUACCUGGACUGAUACUGACACUGAGGUGCGAAAGCGUGGGGAGCAAACAGGAUUAGAAACCCCAGUAGUCC